UUGACAAUGGCGUUAUCGGACCUCGUUUGGGAAGAUAUGGUGGCUGAUUCAACAACAAGAGUUUGGUUCUUUCAGUAGUUACUGCUAGCUUCAUUCUAAACAAGAAGCCAAUAAAGAACGGCCUCCAAAGCCAAAGCUCAGAAGCAAGGAUUUGAUUAAAAGGGGCUUCCAUUCUUGUCAUGUUGAGCCCAGAUGCUUGGUAUUGGUUUAACUUCUUAAUUAAAAUGCCUGGUUAGGCAACGGCUAGAGCCGAAUCUUAGCGACCCAGAGCUAAAUGCCUUGUUCUUAUUCUUUUGAUAUUGAAAUUGUUGGAUUCGU
This 318-nucleotide long non-coding RNA is filed under the name Helianthus annuus (common sunflower). Its description in RNAcentral is "sRNA HanXRQr2_Chr01g0008531". The record is from RNAcentral. Lineage: Eukaryota; Viridiplantae; Streptophyta; Magnoliopsida; Asterales; Asteraceae.